Molecule: long non-coding RNA, 418 nt
Organism: Xyrauchen texanus (razorback sucker)
Lineage: Eukaryota; Metazoa; Chordata; Actinopteri; Cypriniformes; Catostomidae
Exons: 3
Source: RefSeq, a predicted model, not a curated record
GGCCAAGUGGAGCUCUGUAGCAAACCAUAUUCAGAACAUCCACUGCCACGAAAACACCCUGUUUCCUUCUUGUCUUCACGAGCCUCUGGUUGGUGAUCAGACAAGACACUGGCUCAAACCAAGCACAGCAGCAUGUGAAAAAUUCACAGCAAUUUUGUUGUCACCACGUCUUCUUAAAGACAUGCUCAAAAUUAGUCCAGAAUACCACACCUCUGGAAUCGAGUGUUUCCACAGCCUCAUUCUGAAGUUCUCAGCCAAAAAUGUGGUGUUCUCCUUCAGAGGAAUGUUGUGCAGACUACAGCUUGCUGCGAUGCAUUAUAAUGAAAAUGCAGGCAGAUCACAGGCAUCCACUGCAGCUGGUGAUCUGCGAUACUCAAUAGUUUUCCCAAAAUUCAAGCAUGGAGAAUUUACAGUGAGA